RNAcentral lists this ribosomal RNA (497 nucleotides) under uncultured bacterium. RNAcentral's name for it is "partial 16S ribosomal RNA". It matches the Rfam family "Bacterial small subunit ribosomal RNA", at positions 28 to 507 of the family's 1533-position model. The record is from RNAcentral.
GAUGAACGCUGGCGGCGUGCCUAAUACAUGCAAGUCGAGCGAACAGAUGAGGAGCUUGCUCCUCUGACGUUAGCGGCGGACGGGUGAGUAACACGUGGAUAACCUACCUAUAAGACUGGGAUAACUACGGGAAACCGGAGCUAAUACCGGAUAAUAUAUUGAACCGCAUGGUUCAAUAGUGAAAGACGGUUUUGCUGUCACUUAUAGAUGGAUCCGCGCCGCAUUAGCUAGUUGGUAAGGUAACGGCUUACCAAGGCAACGAUGCGUAGCCGACCUGAGAGGGUGCUCGGCCACACUGGAACUGAGACACGGUCCAGACUCCUACGGGAGGCAGCAGUAGGGAAUCUUCCGCAAUGGGCGAAAGCCUGACGGAGCAACGCCGCGUGAGUGAUGAAGGUCUUCGGAUCGUAAAACUCUGUUAUUAGGGAAGAACAAAUGUGUAAGUAACUAUGCACGUCUUGACGGUACCUAAUCAGAAAGCCACGGCUAACUACGUG